Molecule: ribosomal RNA, 548 nt
Filed under: uncultured bacterium
Lineage: Bacteria
Description: bacterial SSU rRNA
Rfam family: Bacterial small subunit ribosomal RNA
Source: RNAcentral
UGGGGAAUUUUGGACAAUGGACGCAAGUCUGAUCCAGCCGUGCCGCGUGCGGGAAGAAGGCCUUCGGGUUGUAAACCGCUUUUGUCAGGGAAGAAACGCUCUGGGCUAAUACCCUGGGGUAAUGACGGUACCUGAAGAAUAAGCACCGGCUAACUACGUGCCAGCAGCCGCGGUAAUACGUAGGGUGCAAGCGUUAAUCGGAAUUACUGGGCGUAAAGCGUGCGCAGGCGGUUAUGCAAGACAGAGGUGAAAUCCCCGGGCUCAACCUGGGAACUGCCUUUGUGACUGCAUAGCUAGAGUACGGUAGAGGGGGAUGGAAUUCCGCGUGUAGCAGUGAAAUGCGUAGAUAUGCGGAGGAACACCGAUGGCGAAGGCAAUCCCCUGGACCUGUACUGACGCUCAUGCACGAAAGCGUGGGGAGCAAACAGGAUUAGAUACCCUGGUAGUCCACGCCCUAAACGAUGUCAACUGGUUGUUGGGAGGGUUUCUUCUCAGUAACGUAGCUAACGCGUGAAGUUGACCGCCUGGGGAGUACGGCCGCAAGGUUG